GGUUUGAUUUGUUGCAUCCACACCUGCGGCGCCUCUCCAUCCGCCCCGCCCGCCGCCGCUCGCUCGUCGUCCCGGAGCGAAGAUCCGGUGCUCAAGUGAGGAAUAAGCCCCCCUCAAGGGUUGUAUUGGAAAUGGUGGAAAACAAUUUUGGGGGUAUUCCUCUUAAAUAUUGCCAUGUGGAUAAUGGGCGUGUCAGCUUUCUUUCCUUCGACAAAGUUGCUCUUCCAAGCUUGCCCUGAUGGGUUGCAGGCACAUUUGUUAGCGCUCCUUGUUGUCACUGAUCUUGUAAUAACAUACACAGAAAUAGCGAGAUCUUCUAAGAUAUAUUUGCCUCAGCAAUUAUUCUUGUUUGAAGCAUGGUUAGUUUCGUUUUUAUAGUAUGGGUUACUGGCUACCUGAUAGUACAUGAGAUGUUCCAUCUUGAGCUGAAUGGGUCAUGUUGAGACACUGAUUUAUAUAUUUUAUGGAUUCUAUGUAAACCAGAAUUUUCAUGCA
Setaria italica (foxtail millet) is the source of this 495-nucleotide long non-coding RNA. RefSeq lists it as uncharacterized. Lineage: Eukaryota; Viridiplantae; Streptophyta; Magnoliopsida; Poales; Poaceae. The transcript has 2 exons. The record is from RefSeq and is a predicted model, not a curated record.